Molecule: long non-coding RNA, 491 nt
Organism: Zophobas morio
Lineage: Eukaryota; Metazoa; Arthropoda; Insecta; Coleoptera; Tenebrionidae
Exons: 3
Source: RefSeq, a predicted model, not a curated record
UAUUAAGUUUUUGCACGAUCGAGUAAUGGAAGAGAUUCCCGAUUUUAACGUUGGUCCUAAAUCGUUAACCAACUGGACAAGGAAAAUUGGUUUCAAAUUUAAGAAAAAUAGUAAUAGAUUAUUUUUGAUGGAAUGGCCUUCAGGUAUACCACCAAAGCAAAGGAAAAAAUGUAUAUGAACCUCUUUUUCUCGAUGAAACGUGGGUAUUUAGUAAAGGUGGCAUACGCAAAAAGACAUGGCAAGACGAUUCAGUAAACACUACUAUUGCAAAAACUGGAGAAAGGAACCCCUUUAAUUUUUAAAGCUAAUAGCAAAUAUGGAGACCAUCAUGAUAACAUGAACAAGGAAAAUUUUGAAAAAUGGUCCAAAGGACAGUUGAUACCAAGUUUUCGGGAACCUUCGCUUAUUGUGAUAGGAAGAAAUUCCUCGAAAAAGUUGCACAAAGACAAAAAUGAUAGCAUAUUAAAAUAAAAAUGGGAUUGAUUAUCCAC